UAAGGAAUAUUGGUCAAUGGACGCAAGUCUGAACCAGCCAUGCCGCGUGAAGGAUGAAGGUCCUCUGGAUUGUAAACUUCUUUUAUAUGGGAAGAAAUCCAUCUUUUCUUGGGUGGUUGACGGUACCAUAGGAAAAAGCACCGGCUAACUCCGUGCCAGCAGCCGCGGUAAUACGGAGGGUGCAAGCGUUAUCCGGAUUCACUGGGUUUAAAGGGUGCGUAGGAGGAAAGGUAAGUCAGUGGUGAAAUCUCCAAGCUUAACUUGGAAACUGCCGUUGAUACUAUCUUUCUUGAAUACCGUGGAGGUGAGCGGAAUAUGUCAUGUAGCGGUGAAAUGCUUAGAUAUGACAUAGAACACCAAUUGCGAAGGCAGCUCGCUACACGAAUAUUGACUCUGAGGCACGAAAGCGUGGGGAUCAAACA
This 422-nucleotide ribosomal RNA is filed under the name uncultured Flavisolibacter sp. RNAcentral describes it as "bacterial SSU rRNA". It matches the Rfam family "Bacterial small subunit ribosomal RNA", at positions 355 to 774 of the family's 1533-position model. The record is from RNAcentral. Lineage: Bacteria; Pseudomonadati; Bacteroidota; Chitinophagia; Chitinophagales; Chitinophagaceae.